Molecule: ribosomal RNA, 607 nt
Filed under: Sphingomonas sp.
Lineage: Bacteria; Pseudomonadati; Pseudomonadota; Alphaproteobacteria; Sphingomonadales; Sphingomonadaceae
Description: bacterial SSU rRNA
Rfam family: Bacterial small subunit ribosomal RNA
Source: RNAcentral
UACGAUUGCCUUCGGGUGAUAGUGGCGCACGGGUGCGUAACGCGUGGGAAUCUGCCCUUAGGUUCGGAAUAACAGCUGGAAACGGCUGCUAAUACCGGAUGAUAUCGCGAGAUCAAAGAUUUAUCGCCUGAGGAUGAGCCCGCGUUGGAUUAGGUAGUUGGUGGGGUAAAGGCCUACCAAGCCGACGAUCCAUAGCUGGUCUGAGAGGAUGAUCAGCCACACUGGGACUGAGACACGGCCCAGACUCCUACGGGAGGCAGCAGUGGGGAAUAUUGGACAAUGGGCGCAAGCCUGAUCCAGCAAUGCCGCGUGAGUGAUGAAGGCCCUAGGGUUGUAAAGCUCUUUUACCCGGGAAGAUAAUGACUGUACCGGGAGAAUAAGCCCCGGCUAACUCCGUGCCAGCAGCCGCGGUAAUACGGAGGGGGCUAGCGUUGUUCGGAAUUACUGGGCGUAAAGCGCACGUAGGCGGCUUUGUAAGUCAGAGGUGAAAGCCUGGAGCUCAACUCCAGAACUGCCUUUGAGACUGCAUCGCUUGAAUCCAGGAGAGGUCAGUGGAAUUCCGAGUGUAGAGGUGAAAUUCGUAGAUAUUCGGAAGAACACCAGUGGC